GCUGUGAUGGCCGAGUGGUUAAGGCGUUGGACUUGAAAUCCAAGGUUCGAACCCUGCUCGCAGCG
Non-coding RNA from Biomphalaria pfeifferi, 65 nucleotides. The record is from the annotation of a GenBank genome assembly. Lineage: Eukaryota; Metazoa; Mollusca; Gastropoda; Planorbidae.